This 905-nucleotide ribosomal RNA is filed under the name uncultured bacterium. RNAcentral's name for it is "bacterial SSU rRNA". It matches the Rfam family "Bacterial small subunit ribosomal RNA", at positions 589 to 1498 of the family's 1533-position model. The record is from RNAcentral.
CAGGCGUGAAAUCCCCGGGCUUACCCUGGGAAUGGCGCCUGUGACUGUAUAGCUAGAGUGUGUCAGAGGGGGGUAGAAUUCCACGUGUAGCAGUGAAAUGCGUAGAUAUGUGGAGGAAUACCAAUGGCGAAGGCAGCCCCCUGGGAUAACACUGACGCUCAUGCACGAAAGCGUGGGGAGCAGACAGGAUUAGAUACCCUGGUAGUCCACGCCCUAAACGAUGCUGACUAGUUGUUCGGGAUUUACAUCCUGAGUAACGUAGCUAACGCGUGAAGUCAGCCGCCUGGGGAGUACGGUCGCAAGAUUAAAACUCAAAGGAAUUGACGGGGACCCGCACAAGCGGUGGAUGAUGUGGAUUAAUUCGAUGCAACGCGAAAAACCUUACCUACCCUUGACAUGUCACUAACGAAGUAGAGAUACAUUAGGUGCUCGUAAGAGAAAGUGAACACAGGUGCUGCAUGGCUGUCGUCAGCUCGUGUCGUGAGAUGUUGGGUUAAGUCCCGCAACGAGCGCAACCCUUGUCUUUAGUUGCUACGCAAGAGCACUCUAAAGAGACUGCCGGUGACAAACCGGAGGAAGGUGGGGAUGACGUCAAGUCCUCAUGGCCCUUAUGGGUAGGGCUUCACACGUCAUACAAUGGUGCAUACAGAGGGUUGCCAACCCGCGAGGGGGAGCUAAUCUCAGAAAAUGCAUCGUAGUCCGGAUCGUAGUCUGCAACUCGACUACGUGAAGCUGGAAUCGCUAGUAAUCGCGGAUCAGAAUGUCGCGGUGAAUACGUUCCCGGGUCUUGUACACACCGCCCGUCAUACCAUGGGAGUGGGUUUUGCCAGAAGCCGUUAGCCUAACCGCAAGGGGGGCGACUGCCACGGCAGGGUUCAUGACUGGGGUAAAGUCGUAACAAGGUA